RNAcentral lists this ribosomal RNA (1116 nucleotides) under Lactobacillus helveticus. RNAcentral describes it as "bacterial SSU rRNA". It matches the Rfam family "Bacterial small subunit ribosomal RNA", at positions 341 to 1450 of the family's 1533-position model. The record is from RNAcentral. Lineage: Bacteria; Bacillati; Bacillota; Bacilli; Lactobacillales; Lactobacillaceae.
ACGGGAGGCAGCAGUAGGGAAUCUUCCACAAUGGACGCAAGUCUGAUGGAGCAACGCCGCGUGAGUGAAGAAGGUUUUCGGAUCGUAAAGCUCUGUUGUUGGUGAAGAAGGAUAGAGGCAGUAACUGGCCUUUAUUUGACGGUAAUCAACCAGAAAGUCACGGCUAACUACGUGCCAGCAGCCGCGGUAAUACGUAGGUGGCAAGCGUUGUCCGGAUUUAUUGGGCGUAAAGCGAGCGCAGGCGGAAGAAUAAGUCUGAUGUGAAAGCCCUCGGCUUAACCGAGGAACUGCAUCGGAAACUGUUUUUCUUGAGUGCAGAAGAGGAGAGUGGAACUCCAUGUGUAGCGGUGGAAUGCGUAGAUAUAUGGAAGAACACCAGUGGCGAAGGCGACUCUCUGGUCUGCAACUGACGCUGAGGCUCGAAAGCAUGGGUAGCGAACAGGAUUAGAUACCCUGGUAGUCCAUGCCGUAAACGAUGAGUGCUAAGUGUUGGGAGGUUUCCGCCUCUCAGUGCUGCAGCUAACGCAUUAAGCACUCCGCCUGGGGAGUACGACCGCAAGGUUGAAACUCAAAGGAAUUGACGGGGGCCCGCACAAGCGGUGGAGCAUGUGGUUUAAUUCGAAGCAACGCGAAGAACCUUACCAGGUCUUGACAUCUAGUGCCAUCCUAAGAGAUUAGGAGUUCCCUUCGGGGACGCUAAGACAGGUGGUGCAUGGCUGUCGUCAGCUCGUGUCGUGAGAUGUUGGGUUAAGUCCCGCAACGAGCGCAACCCUUGUUAUUAGUUGCCAGCAUUAAGUUGGGCACUCUAAUGAGACUGCCGGUGACAAACCGGAGGAAGGUGGGGAUGACGUCAAGUCAUCAUGCCCCUUAUGACCUGGGCUACACACGUGCUACAAUGGACAGUACAACGAGAAGCGAGCCUGCGAAGGCAAGCGAAUCUCUGAAAGCUGUUCUCAGUUCGGACUGCAGUCUGCAACUCGACUGCACGAAGCUGGAAUCGCUAGUAAUCGCGGAUCAGAACGCCGCGGUGAAUACGUUCCCGGGCCUUGUACACACCGCCCGUCACACCAUGGAAGUCUGCAAUGCCCAAAGCCGGUGGCCUAACCUUCGGUAAGG